Molecule: long non-coding RNA, 514 nt
Organism: Alligator sinensis (Chinese alligator)
Lineage: Eukaryota; Metazoa; Chordata; Crocodylia; Alligatoridae
Exons: 3
Source: RefSeq, a predicted model, not a curated record
GAUUCACCUGUGAUGCUGAUAAGUAUUAGUAACUUUUUUUCACCUAAGGAAAUAAAGACAAAACUAAAGGAUUUUGAAAAAUGUUCUAAAAUGUCCCUGGACACUGGAUAUCUGCAAGGGAAAUGGCUAUUUCUACAUAAAGUAGGUAUUGGCCCCAGUAGUCCCAGUGGUCAUGGCAGGGAAGCUGGCUUGGCAUCGACUUCACACAACGAACCUCUGAUCACCAGCACAUCCAGCUGGCUGCUCUCUGCUGUAGCUGAUCAGAUGCAUCUUCUGAGUGGAGAGUCCAGUUGGCAUCCCUUCCCCUUCAGCACUCCGGACUCUCCCAGAUGACCCCUUUUUGGAGCUGGGAGUAGCUUCCUGGGUUCCCCAAGCACCAAUGCAGAGGAAGCAGCUCCUCCAGAAGUGGUGCCCAGGAUCCUGCUUCCUGAUUGUGCUCUCCACUUCUGGUGAAGUGAGUGACAGAAAUGGGUUAUUGCUGGGUCUCUCUCUCCAACCUCCUAUCUCAUUCCUC